AGGACGAACGCUGGCGGCGCGCUUAACACAUGCAAGUCGAGCGAGAACCUGGCCUUCGGGCCUGGGGAAAGCGGCGAACGGGUGAGUAACACGUGGGUAACCCACCCUUGGUACCGGGAUAGCCCGAGGAAACUCGGAUUAAUACCGGAUGGCCCAACAGCUCUUCGGGGCGGUUGGAAAAGGUAGCUUCGGCCUCCGACCAAGGACGGGCCCGCGGCGGAUUAGCUUGUUGGUGAGGUAACGGCUCACCAAGGCGACGAUCCGUAGCUGGUCUGAGAGGACGAUCAGCCACACUGGGACUGAGACACGGCCCAGACUCCUACGGGAGGCAGCAGUGGGGAAUCUUGCGCAAUGGGCGAAAGCCUGACGCAGCGACGCCGCGUGGGGGAAGAAGGCUUUCGGGUUGUAAACCCCUUUCAGGAAGGACGAAGCCACUCGGGUGAAUAGCCCAGAGGGUGACGGUACUUCCAGAAGAAGCCCCGGCUAACUACGCGCCAGCAGCCGC
RNAcentral lists this ribosomal RNA (505 nucleotides) under uncultured bacterium. RNAcentral's name for it is "SSU rRNA". It matches the Rfam family "Bacterial small subunit ribosomal RNA", at positions 26 to 518 of the family's 1533-position model. The record is from RNAcentral.